GAAAUGCGAUAAGCAAUGCGAAUUGCAGAAUACCGCGAGUCAUCAGAUUUUUGAACGCAGCCCGCGCCGGAGAGAUAUCUCUUCGGCAUGUUUGUUUCAGUGUGUUUGGUUGACUUCACAAAACUUAAUGCGAUUGAAGCGCUCUUCUUAAAUGAAGCACACUUCUCUCGUGAAAAUCGAAGGCGCGGACUCGUCCGCCAACGAUGUGGUCACUGUCAAACAGUGAAUUUCGUUGGAUCAACGGAUUAGUCACUAAAAAAUUAUGCGUCUUAUUAUCUAACUUUCUUCAAUCUGCACCUGAAAUCAAGCAAGGCCACCCGCUGAACUUAA
This 330-nucleotide unclassified non-coding RNA is filed under the name uncultured fungus. RNAcentral describes it as "sequence contains ITS1". The stretch from base 1 to 105 matches the Rfam family "5.8S ribosomal RNA", at positions 50 to 154 of the family's 154-position model. Lineage: Eukaryota; Fungi. The record is from RNAcentral.